RNAcentral lists this long non-coding RNA (211 nucleotides) under Capsicum annuum. RNAcentral's name for it is "long non-coding RNA (CANN_LNC022289)". Lineage: Eukaryota; Viridiplantae; Streptophyta; Magnoliopsida; Solanales; Solanaceae. The record is from RNAcentral.
GCCCCAAAUACAGGUUCCCAGCCAAUACCCAAUCCCAAACAGUGGAAGAAACAACCAUAGCAAUAGCAACAACAGACAACAGACAAUGUCCACAAAUUCCACGCAAGUCAAGGUACAGGGGCUACUACUAGCAUAAUACUAAAUAAAAUGGAAUAUGAAAUAAUGAAAUAAUGAAAUAAAAUGGAAUAUAAAAUAACAAAAAUAAUAAAGG